GUGCCAGCCGCCGCGGUAAUACGGAGGGUGCAAGCGUUAUCCGGAUUCAUUGGGUUUAAAGGGUGCGCAGGCGGAUACUUAAGUCAGUGGUGAAAUCCCGGGGCUCAACCCCGGAACUGCCAUUGAUACUGAAUAUCUGGAAUACGGUUGAAGUGGGCGGAAUGUAGCAUGUAGCGGUGAAAUGCAUAGAGAUGCUACAGAACACCGAUCGCGAAGGCAGCUCACUAAGCCGAUAUUGACGCUCAGGCACGAAAGCGUGGGGAGCGAACAGGAUUAGAUACCCUGGUAGUCCACGCCGUAAACGAUGAUAACUCGUUGUUGGCGACACACAGUCAGCGACUAAGCGAAAGCGAUAAGUUAUCCACCUGGGGAGUACGAUCGCAAGGUUGAAACUUAAAUGAAUUGACGG
This 409-nucleotide ribosomal RNA is filed under the name uncultured bacterium. Its description in RNAcentral is "bacterial SSU rRNA". It matches the Rfam family "Bacterial small subunit ribosomal RNA", at positions 505 to 916 of the family's 1533-position model. The record is from RNAcentral.